GUGCUCGCUCUGGCAGCACAUAUACUAAAA
Molecule: small nuclear RNA, 30 nt
Filed under: Cervus elaphus hippelaphus
Lineage: Eukaryota; Metazoa; Chordata; Mammalia; Artiodactyla; Cervidae
Source: RNAcentral